GAUGAACGCUGGCGGCGUGCCUAAUACAUGCAAGUCGAGCGAACGGACGAGAAGCUUGCUUCUCUGAUGUUAGCGGCGGACGGGUGAGUAACACGUGGAUAACCUACCUAUAAGACUGGGAUAACUUCGGGAAACCGGAGCUAAUACCGGAUAAUAUUUUGAACCGCAUGGUUCAAAAGUGAAAGACGGUCUUGCUGUCACUUAUAGAUGGAUCCGCGCUGCAUUAGCUAGUUGGUAAGGUAACGGCUUACCAAGGCAACGAUGCAUAGCCGACCUGAGAGGGUGAUCGGCCACACUGGAACUGAGACACGGUCCAGACUCCUACGGGAGGCAGCAGUAGGGAAUCUUCCGCAAUGGGCGAAAGCCUGACGGAGCAACGCCGCGUGAGUGAUGAAGGUCUUCGGAUCGUAAAACUCUGUUAUUAGGGAAGAACAUAUGUGUAAGUAACUGUGCACAUCUUGACGGUACCUAAUCAGAAAGCCACGGCUAACUACGUGCCAGCAGCCGCGGUAAUACGUAGGUGGCAAGCGUUAUCCGGAAUUAUUGGGCGUAAAGCGCGCGUAGGCGGUUUUUUAAGUCUGAUGUGAAAGCCCACGGCUCAACCGUGGAGGGUCAUUGGAAACUGGAAAACUUGAGUGCAGAAGAGGAAAGUGGAAUUCCAUGUGUAGCGGUGAAAUGCGCAGAGAUAUGGAGGAACACCAGUGGCGAAGGCGACUUUCUGGUCUGUAACUGACGCUGAUGUGCGAAAGCGUGGGGAUCAAACAGGAUUAGAUACCCUGGUAGUCCACGCCGUAAACGAUGAGUGCUAAGUGUUAGGGGGUUUCCGCCCCUUAGUGCUGCAGCUAACGCAUUAAGCACUCCGCCUGGGGAGUACGACCGCAAGGUUGAAACUCAAAGGAAUUGACGGGGACCCGCACAAGCGGUGGAGCAUGUGGUUUAAUUCGAAGCAACGCGAAGAACCUUACCAAAUCUUGACAUCCUUUGACAACUCUAGAGAUAGAGCCUUCCCCUUCGGGGGGCAAAGUGACAGGUGGUGCAUGGUUGUCGUCAGCUCGUGUCGUGAGAUGUUGGGUUAAGUCCCGCAACGAGCGCAACCCUUAAGCUUAGUUGCCAUCAUUAAGUUGGGCACUCUAAGUUGACUGCCGGUGACAAACCGGAGGAAGGUGGGGAUGACGUCAAAUCAUCAUGCCCCUUAUGAUUUGGGCUACACACGUGCUACAAUGGACAAUACAAAGGGCAGCGAAACCGCGAGGUCAAGCAAAUCCCAUAAAGUUGUUCUCAGUUCGGAUUGUAGUCUGCAACUCGACUACAUGAAGCUGGAAUCACUAGUAAUCGUAGAUCAGCAUGCUACGGUGAAUACGUUCCCGGGUCU
This 1372-nucleotide ribosomal RNA is filed under the name uncultured bacterium. Its description in RNAcentral is "bacterial SSU rRNA". It matches the Rfam family "Bacterial small subunit ribosomal RNA", at positions 28 to 1381 of the family's 1533-position model. The record is from RNAcentral.